AUGGAUUGCAACAACAGGAGCGUGUCGCUCCUGGGAAUUUUUGUUGCUUUGGUCUGGGUUGGGUACAAAUAUUACAGGGUCCAAACCGGACUAGGACUCGUGGUUAAUUCCAACAUACCGGUGGUGGCCUCGGAGUCGGAGUGCCAGAAGCUGGCAGAGGGCGACAAGGCGGAGGCCGGCAAGGGGAAGAAGAUCGUCAGGGUGAGCCAGAAGUACAUCGACAUCGUGCUGAGGGAGAAAUCCACCGGCACGGGCAUGUACAGGAAGAACAGGGCCAUGGAGAUCGUUGAGAACUACAAGAGUCCCCUUGAUCUCCGGUCGCUCGUGGCAAUCAGCAAUGGUAUUAGGGAGAAGAUCCACGCCGACGACGCGGCGAUCCUCGAGCAGUACCACCGCCUCGGCUACGCCUACGCCGAGGUCGAGGAGGAGGAGUCCUCCAUCUACAAUGAGAAGGUCUGCGCCCCGCUCGCCGGGUCAAGGCAGCAGCAAGGACGCGCAGGCAAGGAGACCACCGGUCCGAAUCCUCUUCAUCCACUUUGGGUGAGGGAGGACCAGCAGGUCCUCGGCUACCUGCUCCAGAACCUCUCCAAGGAGGUGCUCGUCACGGUGACCACGAUCACCACGGCGCGCGAGCUCUGGGUGGCACUGGCGAGCAUGUUCUUGUCACAAUCACUCAGCCGCGUCAACAACAUCCGUACGGCGCUGAUCAAUGCGCAGAAGGGAAAUCAAUCGGUGGCCUCCUUCUUCGCCGCCAUGAGAGGUCUCGCCGAUGAACUAGCUGCGGCGGGCAAACCCAUCCAAGAUGAUGAACUCAUGUCCUACAUCAUCCACGGGCUGGACCAAGACUAUCAGCCGCUUGUCUCUGCACUGGAUGCACGCGCCACCCCGGUAACCCUUGAUGAACUCUUUGCUAUGCUCAGUAACUUUGAUCAACGCAUGGCGCAGUACCAAGGCUCCGGUGGUGGCUUCAAGUCGUUGGCCAACUCUGCGUACAGAGGCCGCGGCGGUGGCUCCCGCUCACGCUCAUCUCCCCGUGGCAAAGGGAGGUUCAGCUCCGGUGGUGGCGGCUACUCCAACAAUUGGCGCGGCGGCGGGCGCUCGGGAAACUCCAAAGGGCAAAACAGUGAUGCAAAAACUACAGCAAAUGGUGAAGAAAAUGGACCAACAGGUCCUUAUUUCAUGUGUCCCAGUGCAGGGGACAGAUCCUCCUCGGGAUCGGAGGAAGCGAUGCAGCCGCGCAGUCGAUCUUCCCUGGGAUCCGCGCCUGGCAGCGAAUCUGCCACGCCAGUCCGGACAGACAACACAGGCGGGCGUGCAGGCGAGCCCACGUCAGCCACGCGGCAGAGCCCGGCGGGCCGCACCGCCUCCUCUCGCGCGCCCGAACCAUCGCCCGACAGGUGGCAGGCCGCCUCUGGUCUGGGCUGGGCCUAG
This 1431-nucleotide ribosomal RNA is filed under the name Triticum aestivum (bread wheat). RNAcentral describes it as "partial small subunit ribosomal RNA". The stretch from base 793 to 931 matches the Rfam family "Small nucleolar RNA Z247". The record is from RNAcentral. Lineage: Eukaryota; Viridiplantae; Streptophyta; Magnoliopsida; Poales; Poaceae.